AAGGUGAGAAGACCUCUGCGCCAAAAUAGAAACGGCUCUACUUUCUAGUGUGCAAACUUUCAAAUGUCAACGCGUUCACAAAAGAUUCACUGUCAAACAAAUGUUUGCGAGGCAGCGAUGAGGAAACGGAGUUGCGUUAAAGCCUUUCAUACGCUGUGUUAGCCGAGGAAGGAAAAACACAACCGUCUGGAGCCAUGACGUACUGAACUGUGUACAAAUCCAAAUCCAGACUUGGACAGUAUUAUUUCAAGACCGUUCCAGUUCCACAAGUGGUCAGGACAAAAGAAGGACUUCAGAUGCCGUGGCGGUGUGAUAAGGCGCAGCACAAAGCGGAGGAUCGUCCGCACCCCGAAGCGGAUUAUUUCUGCACACGGUAUGAAGCGUGUUAUUCUGCUUAUACCACAGCAAACGAUUACAAUUCUUCCGACGGUAAGGAAUGACAUAUUGCGCUUUUUUUUUUUUUAUUAUCUGUUUAUAUUUACAUUUUCAUGUAAUGGAAUGUCUGCGAGACAAGUUAGUUCCUCUUACUGCUUACAUAAUAAACAGUCGUUCCCUUUACCGGCCUGUCACUCCAACAAAACGCAACUUGUCAGGUUACCAAGAACCAGUCCUG
Ictalurus punctatus (channel catfish) is the source of this 613-nucleotide long non-coding RNA. The record is from Ensembl. NCBI's taxonomy places the organism in Eukaryota, Metazoa, Chordata, Actinopteri, Siluriformes, Ictaluridae.